RNAcentral lists this ribosomal RNA (336 nucleotides) under Triticum aestivum (bread wheat). RNAcentral describes it as "partial small subunit ribosomal RNA". Lineage: Eukaryota; Viridiplantae; Streptophyta; Magnoliopsida; Poales; Poaceae. The record is from RNAcentral.
AUGACGAGGUCGUUGAGGACGCCCGCCAUGGCCUCCGGCGUGAACUGUUGCGGCUGCGGGGGAGGUGAUGGCGGCGACGAGUGUUGGACGGGGGCCUGUGGCUGCCCUUGGCCCGGCGUGGUGCCGGGUGCCGUUAGGACCGGCGCUGAGAGCGACGCAGUGGUGCCCGCCGAGAGCGAGGCCGUGACGCCCGGCGCAGAGGCGGCGAUGGUGGAGGAGUUGGCGGGCAACGGUGGUGGUGGCGGUGGAAUUGGCGGAGACAUGGUCGAAACCCGGUUACCUGAUACCAAAUUGGUAGGAUCAAGUACUCUACCAGGUCUAGGGCGUAGGUGGUAA